GAUGAACGCUGGCGGCGUGCCUAAUACAUGCAAGUCGAGCGAACAGACGCUGAGCUUGCGCCGCUGAUGUUAGCCGCGGACGGGUGAGUAACACGUGGAUAACCUCCCUAUAAGACUGGGAUAACUUCGGGAAACCGGAGCUAAUACCGGAUAACAUGUUGAACCGCAUGGUUCAACAGUGAGAGACGGUGUUGCUGUCACUUAUAGCUGGAUCCGCGCCGCAUUAGCUAGUUGGUGAGCUAACGGGUUACUACGGCAACGAUGCGUAGCCGACCUCAGGGGGUGAUCGGCCACACGGGAACGGAGACACGGACCAGGCGACUGCGGGAGGGCGCAGAAGGCAAUCUGCCGCAAUGGGCGAAAACCUUGCGGAGCAACGCCGAGUGAGUGAAGAAGGCCUCCGGAUCGUAAAACUGUGUUACGAGGGAAGAACAACUGUGUAAGUAACUAUGCACGUAUUGACGGUACCGAGUCAGAAAGCCACGGCUAACUACGUG
RNAcentral lists this ribosomal RNA (497 nucleotides) under uncultured bacterium. RNAcentral describes it as "partial 16S ribosomal RNA". It matches the Rfam family "Bacterial small subunit ribosomal RNA", at positions 28 to 507 of the family's 1533-position model. The record is from RNAcentral.